This 1053-nucleotide long non-coding RNA is filed under the name Corvus moneduloides (New Caledonian crow). RNAcentral's name for it is "lncRNA (ENSCMUG00000018237.1)". The record is from RNAcentral. Lineage: Eukaryota; Metazoa; Chordata; Aves; Passeriformes; Corvidae.
CCGCCGCGGCGAGAGCAGCUGCCCACGGGCACUCAGCGCGGCGCCGGGCGGGCACUAAGCCCCGGCGGGCGGCACGGCCCCUUCUCCCCGCCCCUCUCCCGCAACUUUCUGGGUGCUCCUCCGGCACCCAUGGCAACGCGCAUGAGCCUUCCCCCACCGCCGGGCCGGGGGGAAGGAAUUAACUGGCGAAAUUAAUCCUUUCCCCUAAACGGUGCAGGAAUGACCCGCUCUCAGUGUCGCGCCUGGCGUCCCUGCGCGGAGGGGAGCGGGCAGCAGCAAGUGCCGAGGUGCGGACCGUGGCCAGGUCCCUCCUGAGGAGCUGGAGCGGACAGGAACGCGAGCAGCGCCCCGGGGCUGGCGGGGAGCACUGAUUGCUCGGGGCUCUUCCACCUGUCUUUAGGAGAUGCGUUUCAAGAUGGGCUUCCAUGGGGAGAAUGGUGCUUCUGCGCGCAACGAACGAGUGGUGUUCAAGGAGCAUCUAUGACUACACCCCACCUUCAACACUUGCUAGAAGCCACACGCUCACCAAGACCCUACUUGGGAGUUCAACAACAGUAACUCAAAAAUAAUGGGAUUCUCCCACAGUAUGCAGAGGUGCUACAAGCAAGAGUUCCUCAUAUCCUUCAUGCCAUGAACAACCUCACAUAAACCCAGGAAGGAGGUCAAGCUGAUGUAAAUAAUCUUCCUGCCAUACAGUAAGAACAAAUGGUACCAGCCAGAUCUAUACACUUGAUGUCAUCUUUAAACUGCAAGAAGAUAAGGUCAGUUGACUCUUGAUCUCCCACAUGUGCUGUUAACACAUUUUAGUUUAGGUACAUUGGCUUUAUUCAUUUCUCCAAGACCACCAAAAUGUCUUCUUGCCAGACAGAAUGAGAGACAUUAUGCAUAUCAGCGGUAUUCAAUGUGUUCUUCGGUCAUAAGAUUUCAAUCAACAUCUAGCUGAAAAAGGGAUUUUGUUAGAAAAACCUCAAUAUUUGCCCCCUUAAAUCAAUAUUAUCUAAGCCCUCCAAAUUCAUCACAGCAUCUAUGUUUAAUGCCCUCUAGAUUUCUCAG